Molecule: long non-coding RNA, 1732 nt
Filed under: Cinara cedri
Lineage: Eukaryota; Metazoa; Arthropoda; Insecta; Hemiptera; Aphididae
Source: RNAcentral
GAAAAUUAAAAUACAUAUAGGUGGUAAUUAAAUACCGUAUUUACGUUUUGAAAUUAUCUCAUCUCGUUUUCCGAUGAGUUUUGUUUGAUAAUAAGUUAUAAAAUAAUACCAAAAAAACUAUUAUAUUUUAAUAUCUAUCAUCUAAAUAUCCAUUUAAGUAGAUACACUUAUUAUCUCGAAAAUCAUUAACUUAUUCCGAAAUUUGUUUUCAAGAAUAUUUAAGAAAUGAGCUGCUCUAGGUACAAUUUUAUAUUUAUGUUAUUUUUUUUUUAAGUUUGGGUUGGAGAAGAGUAGUGGGGUAUCAUUUGUGUGGUGGUAAGGCACGCUACUUGUUGUUAAUGCACCAUGACGCUCCGCCAACCCAAAAUUAAAAGUGGAAUUUCUCGUCAACGGAUCGACAAAAAUUAAAAUUGUCAACACUAAAGUUUGUUUUAACUAAUACUCAGUUUAUGGACUUUUUAAUAUAUAGGUUUCCAUUUAAAAAUCAAAAAAGUAGGUAGUGGUUUCACCCCCAAAAAUAAGGGUGACAAAAAUAACAUGAGUAUGAAAUUGUACCUUGUUUCGUAAAUAUUCUAGAAAACAAAUUCCGGAAAAAGUUAAUACUUUUCAAAAUAAUGAGUGUAUCCACUUAUAAAUGAAUCGCCCGGUAUACACUGUUCUUCUGUAAACUAAACAAAAUAAUAUUAAAAAUCAUGAGAUUAAUAUAAAUAAGAAUUUCAAACAUCAACAUUUCCAAAUUAAUAAUAAACUCUAUAUAGUGGUUUUCAUCAUUUUUUCGAAAAUAAUGAAAUAAAUUAUUGUUUUUUAAAAAUGUUUUACCGAAACAUAAAAAUUUAACUAAAAUAUGAAUUUUUUUAGUUCUUGUCUCUUUGAGUCGUAUAAAAAAAAAAAAAAAAAAUGGACCAUCUUCGUUACAUCAGGAGUUAUCGCAAUGGGUAAAUUAUCAUUGCGAAACACUCUGAAUAUUGUCCGAAUUUUUUUACCGCUGAGUCUCGAAUCGAUAUACGGUCGAUUAUCCUCUCAGUUGUACAUUUAUAAUAUUAUUAUGUUGACUGUGAUCGAUAUUCAUCUGGCCGUGAUGCCCCCCGACGUUUUGAAUUAACGAACCGGUGAUGUCAAAAUCGGUGACAACCGAAACAAAGUGCAAAGCUAUUAUUGAAAUGUCAAGUUUCGGAUUAUAAAAAAAAAAAAAUAAUAAUAAUAAUAAUAAUAAUAAAAAAGAGCAUCGAUCCGUUUGAUUUGACUGUGACAACAGAGGAUAAAAUAAAAAUCUCUGUUAGUGCAGUACUCGUAUAAUAUAACAGAUUGAGAACAAAAUUUUUAAAGCCAAAUCCCGUUGAUAUCCGUUGACCACCGGCCGUUCGAAUGACGGCUACUUAAUGUUUUUUUGAAAUAUUACGCUAUAGAAUGUAUUUUAAGUUUGCCUACGCGGACAAAUACGCAAGUGAACUAUCGAGAAACGGUUUAAACUGUUUUUCGAUUUGAUAAUAAUUAUUCAUCAUUACGAGUACCGUCAAUAAUGGUUAUCUCUGGAUUUCCGUCGGGCAGUGCACAUCGCAAUGUAUUUUCGACGAAUUUGCCUUUGAAUUUUCUUGCACGCCAGACAAUCAGACGCAGUUUUCAAGUUCAACGUCUCUCAUUUUCUCCGCACGACUGCAAAAUCUUAAACAAGCCCUUGCAUUUGAAAGUGGGGCGCCUAAAAAAACUAUUCAGAUUUCAGAUAGCUAACAUU